CCCCGACCUCCACCCUUUGUGAACCAAACUUGUUGCUUCGGGGGCGACCCUGCCGACGAACUCGUCGCCGGGCGCCCCCGGAGGUCUUCUAAACACUGCAUCUUUGCGUCGGAGUUUAAAACAAAUUAAACAAAACUUUCAACAACGGAUCUCUUGGUUCUGGCAUCGAUGAAGAACGCAGCGAAAUGCGAUAAGUAAUGUGAAUUGCAGAAUUCAGUGAAUCAUCGAAUCUUUGAACGCACAUUGCGCCCUUUGGUAUUCCGAAGGGCAUGCCUGUUCGAGCGUCAUUUCACCACUCAAGCCUGGCUUGGUAUUGGGCGUCGCGGUUUUCCGCGCGCCUUAAAGUCUUCCGGCUGAGCUGUCCGUCUCUAAGCGUUGUGGAUUUUUCAAUUCGCUUCGGAGUGCGGGCGGCCGCGGCCGUUAAAUCUUUAUUCAAAGG
This 439-nucleotide small RNA is filed under the name Pseudocercospora sp. 2171 FePP. RNAcentral's name for it is "eukaryotic LSU rRNA". The stretch from base 134 to 287 matches the Rfam family "5.8S ribosomal RNA". Lineage: Eukaryota; Fungi; Ascomycota; Dothideomycetes; Mycosphaerellales; Mycosphaerellaceae. The record is from RNAcentral.